Molecule: ribosomal RNA, 439 nt
Filed under: uncultured bacterium
Lineage: Bacteria
Description: partial 16S ribosomal RNA
Rfam family: Bacterial small subunit ribosomal RNA
Source: RNAcentral
CUACGGGGGGCACCAGUGAGGAAUAUUGCACAAUGGGGGGAACCCUGAUGCAGCAACGCCGCGUGGAGGAUGACGCAUUUCGGUGUGUAAACUCCUUUUAUAUGUCAAGAAAAUGACGGUAGCAUAUGAAUAAGCACCGGCUAACUCCGUGCCAGCAGCCGCGGUAAUACGGAGGGUGCAAGCGUUACUCGGAAUCACUGGGCGUAAAGGACGCGUAGGCGGGUUGGAAAGUCAGGUGUGAAAUCCUACAGCUUAACUGUAGAACUGCGCUUGAAACUUCGAAUCUAGAGUAUGGGAGGGGGAGAUGGAAUUAGUGGUGUAGGGGUAAAAUCCGUAGAUAUCACUAGGAAUACCUAAAGCGAAGGCGAUCUCCUGGAACAUUACUGACGCUAAGGCGUGAAAGCGUGGGGAGCAAACAGGAUUAGAUACCCUUGUAGUC